GGGCGUGUGGUCUAGUGGUAUGAUUCUCGCUUUGGGUGUCCGUUACAUACGUUGUAAUUACACAAGUAUGCGAGAGGCCCUGGGUUCAAUUCCCAGCUCGCCCC
This is a non-coding RNA of Lizanozyma spartinae, 104 nucleotides long. NCBI's taxonomy places the organism in Eukaryota, Fungi, Ascomycota, Pichiomycetes, Serinales, Debaryomycetaceae. The record is from the annotation of a RefSeq genome assembly.